AGGGUCAGCAGGCAGAUCCCANUUUUCUUUCACCGAAUACAUUAGCAUGGGAUAAUGGAAUANGACCCUGUCCUCCUAUUUUCAGUUGGUUUUGGCAGCGCGAGGACUAGGGUAAUGAUUAAUAGGGAUAGUUGGGGGCAUUAAUAUUUAAUUGUCAGAGGUGAAAUUCUUGGAUUUAUGAAAGAUUAACUUCUGCGAAAGCAUCUGCCAAGGAUGUUUUCAUUAAUCAAGAACGAAAGUUAGGGGAUCGAAGACGAUCAGAUACCGUCGUAGUCUUAACCAUAAACGAUGCCGACCAGCGAUUAGGAGACGUUGAAUACAAAACACCACCAUCGGCGCGGUCGUCCUUGGCGUGUCUCGGCUUCACGGCUGGGGCGCGCGAGGGCGGUUUAGCCCGGUGGCACCGGUGAAUGACUCCCCU
This 421-nucleotide ribosomal RNA is filed under the name Acanthamoeba sp. AVL-21. RNAcentral's name for it is "SSU rRNA". The stretch from base 1 to 365 matches the Rfam family "Eukaryotic small subunit ribosomal RNA", at positions 770 to 1115 of the family's 1831-position model. The record is from RNAcentral. Lineage: Eukaryota; Discosea; Longamoebia; Acanthamoebidae.